Molecule: ribosomal RNA, 493 nt
Filed under: uncultured bacterium
Lineage: Bacteria
Description: bacterial SSU rRNA
Rfam family: Bacterial small subunit ribosomal RNA
Source: RNAcentral
CGCUGGCGGCGCACAUAAGACAUGCAAGUCGAACGGAAGCCGUUUUACUGGAAAAUGAAGAUUUAUCGGAGUAGAAAGUAAAACAAUGACUUUAGUGGCGGACUGGUGAGUAACGCGUGAGCAACCUGCCUAUUAGAGGGGAAUAACAGUGAGAAAUCACUGCUAAUACCGCAUAAGCUAGUAAUGCUGCAUGGCAUAGCUAGAGAAGGAGCAAUCCGCUAAUAGAUGGUCUCGCGUCUGAUUAGCUAGUUGGUGAGGUAACGGCUCACCAAGGCGACGAUCAGUAGCCGGUCUGAGAGGAUGAACGGCCACAUUGGGACUGAGAUACGGCCCAGACUCCUACGGGAGGCAGCAGGUGGGGAAUAUUGGGCAAUGGGCGAAAGCCUGACCCAGCAACGCCGCGUGAAGGAAGAAGGCCUUCGGGUUGUAAACUUCUUUACCAGGGACGAAGAACGUGACGGUACCUGGAGAAAAAGCAACGGCUAACUACGUG